This 774-nucleotide ribosomal RNA is filed under the name Triticum aestivum (bread wheat). Its description in RNAcentral is "partial small subunit ribosomal RNA". The record is from RNAcentral. Lineage: Eukaryota; Viridiplantae; Streptophyta; Magnoliopsida; Poales; Poaceae.
AUGGCGGAUUCGAUGGUGGCGAGCUUCUGGGGGCCGGUUACAUCAACCACUGAGCUGUGCGAGGAGAACUAUGCGCGCUCGUCAUACAUCGCAGAGUUCUACAAUACUCUCUCUAAUGCCCCAUGCAUUCUCUUGGCGCUUAUUGGGCUCGUGAAUGCUCUCCGCCAACGUUUUGAGAAGCGCUUCAGCGUCCUGCACAUAUCCAAUAUGAUACUUUCUAUUGGGAGUAUCAUCUUCCAUGCAACCUUGCAACAUGUCUUACAGCAGAGUGACGAGACUCCAAUGGUGUGGGAAAUUCUCCUAUAUCUGUAUGUCCUUUAUUCACCAGACUGGCAUUACAGGAGCACCAUGCCUACUUUCCUUGUCCUAUACGGUGCUGCAUUUGCUGUAGUUCACUUCUUCGUGCGAUUCCAAGUAGUAUUCAAGUUGCACUACAUUGGCCUCUGCCUUCUCUGCAUCCCGCGGAUGUACAAGUACUACAUUCAGACGAAAGACUUGGCUGCCAAGAGGCUCGCGAAGCUGUGGGUUCUUACCAUAUUCCUGGCGACAGUUUGCUGGCUAGUUGAUCGCAUCUUCUGUAAGAAGCUCUCGCUCUGGGUCAUCAACCCGCAGGGACAUGCAUGGUGGCAUGUGCUUAUGGGCUUCAACUCAUACUUUGCAAACACAUUCUUGAUGUUCUGCCGAGCUCAGCAGCGUGGGUGGGAGCCGCGCAUUAUCCACCUCUUUGGAUUUUUGCCUUAUGUCAAGAUUCAGAAAUCCAGAAAGAGGGAGUAA